Molecule: long non-coding RNA, 261 nt
Filed under: Elaeis guineensis (African oil palm)
Lineage: Eukaryota; Viridiplantae; Streptophyta; Magnoliopsida; Arecales; Arecaceae
Description: long non-coding RNA (EGUI_LNC009936)
Source: RNAcentral
AAGUUCAGCAUCAAGCAAAGCCCUUUCUUGAAUCUUCUUCACUUCUAGCUCCUUGACAACCCUAAAAAUUUCUUUAGCAACUUCAGCUUAAGCUUCAGUGAUAUGGGCCCUUUUCUCUAAAGAAUGAUCGAGCCAGCUGAAAUGGGUCAAUCCUUCAUGCAUUAUAGUCAUGUCAUGCAUUAGCUGCAAAAGAGCAAAAAGGGAAAGACUAAGUUAAGAGAAUGGGAUAUUGACAAAAAGAAAAGGUAAAAUAGACUUGCC